AGCCACAUUAAGGUGAAACCGCGAAUGGCUCAUUACAUCAGUUAUGGUUCCUUAGAUCGUACCCACAUUACUUGGAUAACUGUGGUAAUUCUAGAGCUAAUACAUGCAAAUAGAGUUCCGACCAGAGAUGGAAGGAAUGCUUUUAUUAGAUCAAAACCAAUCGGUGGCGGGCUUGCCUUGCUCACCGUUUGACUUGGUGACUCUGAAUAACUUUGUGCUGAUCGCACGGUCUCGUACCGGCGACGCAUCUUUCAAAUGUCUGCCUUAUCAACUGUCGAUGGUAGUUUCUGCGACUACCAUGGUUGUUACGGGUAACGGGGAAUCAGGGUUCGAUUCCGGAGAGGGAGCCUGAGAAACGGCUACCACAUCCAAGGAAGGCAGCAGGCGCGCAAAUUACCCACUCCCGGCACGGGGAGGUAGUGACGAAAAAUAACGAUACGGGACUCAUCCGAGGCCCCGUAAUCGGAAUGAGUACACUUUAAAUCCUUUCACGAUUAACAAUUGGAGGGCAAGCCUGGUGCCAGCAGCCGCGGUAACUCCAGCUCCAAUAGCGUAUAUUAAAGUUGUUGCGGUUAAAAAGCUCGUAGUUGAAUCUGUGUCCCACACUGUCGGUUCACCGCUCGCGGUGUCCAACUGGCAUGUCUGUGGGACGUCCUGCCGGUGGGCGCAGCCCCUCAAAAGGCGGCCCAACUCAAAAUCCUACCACGGUGCUCUUCACCGAGUGUCGAGG
RNAcentral lists this ribosomal RNA (730 nucleotides) under Paramonopsyllus scalonae. Its description in RNAcentral is "SSU rRNA". It matches the Rfam family "Eukaryotic small subunit ribosomal RNA", at positions 68 to 739 of the family's 1831-position model. Lineage: Eukaryota; Metazoa; Arthropoda; Insecta; Siphonaptera; Ceratophyllidae. The record is from RNAcentral.